This 1444-nucleotide ribosomal RNA is filed under the name Limosilactobacillus reuteri. RNAcentral's name for it is "bacterial SSU rRNA". It matches the Rfam family "Bacterial small subunit ribosomal RNA". Lineage: Bacteria; Bacillati; Bacillota; Bacilli; Lactobacillales; Lactobacillaceae. The record is from RNAcentral.
UGCAAGUCGUACGCACUGGCCCAACUGAUUGAUGGUGCUUGCACCUGAUUGACGAUGGAUCACCAGUGAGUGGCGGACGGGUGAGUAACACGUAGGUAACCUGCCCCGGAGCGGGGGAUAACAUUUGGAAACAGAUGCUAAUACCGCAUAACAACAAAAGCCGCAUGGCUUUUGUUUGAAAGAUGGCUUUGGCUAUCACUCUGGGAUGGACCUGCGGUGCAUUAGCUAGUUGGUAAGGUAACGGCUUACCAAGGCGAUGAUGCAUAGCCGAGUUGAGAGACUGAUCGGCCACAAUGGAACUGAGACACGGUCCAUACUCCUACGGGAGGCAGCAGUAGGGAAUCUUCCACAAUGGGCGCAAGCCUGAUGGAGCAACACCGCGUGAGUGAAGAAGGGUUUCGGCUCGUAAAGCUCUGUUGUUGGAGAAGAACGUGCGUGAGAGUAACUGUUCACGCAGUGACGGUAUCCAACCAGAAAGUCACGGCUAACUACGUGCCAGCAGCCGCGGUAAUACGUAGGUGGCAAGCGUUAUCCGGAUUUAUUGGGCGUAAAGCGAGCGCAGGCGGUUGCUUAGGUCUGAUGUGAAAGCCUUCGGCUUAACCGAAGAAGUGCAUCGGAAACCGGGCGACUUGAGUGCAGAAGAGGACAGUGGAACUCCAUGUGUAGCGGUGGAAUGCGUAGAUAUAUGGAAGAACACCAGUGGCGAAGGCGGCUGUCUGGUCUGCAACUGACGCUGAGGCUCGAAAGCAUGGGUAGCGAACAGGAUUAGAUACCCUGGUAGUCCAUGCCGUAAACGAUGAGUGCUAGGUGUUGGAGGGUUUCCGCCCUUCAGUGCCGGAGCUAACGCAUUAAGCACUCCGCCUGGGGAGUACGACCGCAAGGUUGAAACUCAAAGGAAUUGACGGGGGCCCGCACAAGCGGUGGAGCAUGUGGUUUAAUUCGAAGCUACGCGAAGAACCUUACCAGGUCUUGACAUCUUGCGCUAACCUUAGAGAUAAGGCGUUCCCUUCGGGGACGCAAUGACAGGUGGUGCAUGGUCGUCGUCAGCUCGUGUCGUGAGAUGUUGGGUUAAGUCCCGCAACGAGCGCAACCCUUGUUACUAGUUGCCAGCAUUAAGUUGGGCACUCUAGUGAGACUGCCGGUGACAAACCGGAGGAAGGUGGGGACGACGUCAGAUCAUCAUGCCCCUUAUGACCUGGGCUACACACGUGCUACAAUGGACGGUACAACGAGUCGCAAGCUCGCGAGAGUAAGCUAAUCUCUUAAAGCCGUUCUCAGUUCGGACUGUAGGCUGCAACUCGCCUACACGAAGUCGGAAUCGCUAGUAAUCGCGGAUCAGCAUGCCGCGGUGAAUACGUUCCCGGGCCUUGUACACACCGCCCGUCACACCAUGGGAGUUUGUAACGCCCAAAGUCGGUGGCCUAACCUUUAUGGAGGGAGCCGC